AGCUUGUCCGAUGGUGUUGAGUUAUCAGAACUUAUUAACAUUAGUGUCACUAAAAUUGGUAUAUAGACCCCCACUGCUAAAUUUGGCCUAAA
Molecule: unclassified non-coding RNA, 92 nt
Organism: Gorilla gorilla gorilla (western lowland gorilla)
Lineage: Eukaryota; Metazoa; Chordata; Mammalia; Primates; Hominidae
Rfam family: Y RNA
About the family: Y RNAs are components of the Ro ribonucleoprotein particle (Ro RNP), in association with Ro60 and La proteins.
Source: Ensembl